RNAcentral lists this transfer RNA (77 nucleotides) under Chloroflexota bacterium. RNAcentral describes it as "Chloroflexi bacterium tRNA-Asp". It matches the Rfam family "tRNA". From Rfam's summary of the family: Transfer RNA (tRNA) molecules are approximately 80 nucleotides in length. RNAcentral also lists the same sequence under 2 other names. The record is from RNAcentral. Lineage: Bacteria; Bacillati; Chloroflexota.
GGCCCCGUGGUGUAGCGGCCUAACACGCCACCCUGUCAAGGUGGAGAUCGUCGGUUCAAAUCCGAUCGGGGUCGCCA